Molecule: long non-coding RNA, 707 nt
Organism: Physeter macrocephalus (sperm whale)
Lineage: Eukaryota; Metazoa; Chordata; Mammalia; Artiodactyla; Physeteridae
Exons: 3
Source: RefSeq, a predicted model, not a curated record
CUCUGAGAUGGAUGUUGUUCCUGUUUUACCCAGGAGGAAACUGAGGUCCAGAGAGUUAGCAGCCCUUCCCUGGAAAGGCCCGAGGCUCUGUGUGGAAGGAGAUAAGAUGCCGCAGCUUCCAGCAGACCUGCAUUAGCCAGAGCGACGUCAGGCACACUGUGUCCCGAGAGGAGAAAACCAGCAACAGCAAGGGUUUAGCAGUUGGACCUGCUGGCCCAAUCCUUGAGAAUCACCCUGAAGCCUGUUAUGCAGAAAAAAGCAGCAGCAGGAAGGAACUUGGCCGGAGAGCUGGGCAUUGCCCUCACCUGCCCGAAUCGAAUUCUGCCCCUGUUCCUCCUCCCGCCUGGCCGGGGAGAGCUGGGGGUGCCACAUGGCCGCCCCCGGUUGGGCUCCCCUGGGCCUGCCUCCCUGCCCCUCCGUCCAGCCCGGACCAGCCCAGUCCAGCGUGCUCCGUGGGCUGAAGUCAUUUGGAGCGCGCCAGUUCGCCUCCCGUACGGGUGUGCAGCCGGGAUAACGGUGAUUAAUGCACGUGUCUGGUGGGGCCUUCAGGGUAAUUCGAUUUGCUUGAUAUCUAGAGUGAUCGCCCCUCCUUCCUGCCUGCUCCCUUUCUUUGCCUGACUUUGUGGCAGCGUUUACCUUCCUUGGUGUUUUAAGGUGAUGAACGACACUUGUUUCUGGUGUUUGUUUCCGCCCAAGUUUUAAUUAAA